UCCACUCAAACUCUUUCAUCCUUUUUGUUCCUCUGUUAGUGGUGUUGCCACUCUCUCUUCCCCUGUCAUGGCUGCUGUUUCUGUUGAAAGCUUUAAAUAUGCCAAAAGGGAAGGGAGAUUGAGAGAAGAAGCCGACGAAUCCGAAGUAAGAUCCAAACACUCGACAAACACGGUACCGAAGAUUUCAUCAGAGUUGAAACCAAGUGAAGAGAUUGUGGUUUGAAAAUGAUGAUCUUGAUGAUCAAGGGGCCGUGUUCAUGGAAGCCAUAAAAACUGAAAAGAAAAUGCAAUACAACGGGAUUAUUAACUAGUUGUUUGCUGACAUCGUUCUUGGGAGCUUUGAAACCCUUUUUGAGUUCUGAGUAACCGUUGAGUUUAAAGGGAAACGGAAAAGCUAAAUUCUACCUCCAGUUCUGGUGGUUCCAAUGUCUACAAUACUGUUUUCAUUGAUACCAGCCUCGACACCCACCUCGCCAUGAUCGUCUUUGAUUCAAACACUGUUUCUGAUCUUAAAUGGCUUGGGAUAUAUUUGAUGGGAUUGUUGACUCUGGGAAGCAGAUGAAAGUGUCAACCCUAAAUGUCAUGCUUUAAGUUUACUGCAUAAAUGGUCUACGUAUGAAGGCAAAUAGGCUUUUUGAUAAUGUACAUGACAUGGGGGUGAUUCCUGACUCAUCAACAUAUAAACUUCUCCCUUUGUUGACGAUGCAUCAGUGGUAAGUAAGUAGUUUGCGUCAUUGCAAUUUCAUAAUAUAAAAGCUUCUUUUUUUAUGGUAUUUCACGAAAUAUUUUGUAACUGCGGGCUACCUGAUGAAUAGGCGGGUGAAAUCCCCGCUGCAUGUGUUGUCAUGAACCCAAAUGCCAAAGAAAGCGAAACAGACAUCAUGGACUUUGUAGCCUUCAAUGUUGCACACUACAAGAAAGUAAGGUUUUUGCAAUUUACGGACACAAUUCCAAAAUCCCAAUCAAGGAAGAUCAUGAGAAGGCUUUUGAAAGAUAAGAUGAUAGAAAAUAUGGGAAAAAACAAUUCCACAGCUAAUCCAAGUUCUGCUUGUGCCACAAAGGGUGGCAGGCCAGAGAAUAGUGCAAAAACUAAAAGGGAAGUAAUCAAUUGAUUGGUUUAUAUAUUCUUUUAAUCUCUUUCCAACUAAGCGUGAUUCAAAGCAAGGUCUGUAUUGCAUAGGGAUGGUUAUCAAGUUUGGGUAUAUUGCAGCACUAAUUGAAUGUGAUAUUUGUCUC
Long non-coding RNA from Durio zibethinus, 1236 nucleotides. RefSeq lists it as uncharacterized. NCBI's taxonomy places the organism in Eukaryota, Viridiplantae, Streptophyta, Magnoliopsida, Malvales, Malvaceae. The record is from RefSeq and is a predicted model, not a curated record.